Molecule: long non-coding RNA, 2389 nt
Filed under: Triticum aestivum (bread wheat)
Lineage: Eukaryota; Viridiplantae; Streptophyta; Magnoliopsida; Poales; Poaceae
Description: long non-coding RNA (TAES_LNC005015)
Source: RNAcentral
UUAUAUUCUUUCUAGUUUGCAUUUUGUACACAUUAAUUAUACUAGCAUGUUCCAGAUUAUUAUUGACCUUGGCCUGUCCAACCCAUCUUCGGCCCAGCAUGCCAAAUAUUUGAUCCACAUGAAAGAAGUAAAUAAUCUCUGUUUAGCAAAAAAACAAUACUGGAGUGCACAACUACAAAAUUCUGAUCAAAAUAACAUAUUAAAAUUACAAAUCAGUCACACUGGACAUUUAGAUACACAUAAUAUGUGUAUCGUGUUGACAGUAGUAUCACUGUGCUAUCCAAGUGGAGUAACCCUUCUAAACCAAACUCAAGUGUCUUUUGUUCUAUCUCAAUUACCUGCAAAAGAAUAGCAGAAAAAAAUGUGAGAACUAUCGACAUGAGAAAUCUAUUAUGGGAAUCAUUCAGACAAACCUCUAUUUAAAAUGACAGUAAUUAGCUCACCCGCAAAAAAAUGACAAGUGCAAGGAACAAUAUACAGCAACAUCAGAUAUUUCAAUUAACAUGCACAUUUUAGCAGCAGGCAGAAAAGGAUUUGGCAUGCAGAAAGAACACAAAAAUAGAUCAAAUAUAUAUAUUAAGAGUGAGAUGGUUGGUGGAAUAUCUAUCCUGGAAAAUUAGGGCAUCAAUCAGUUACUAUAUGUGGAUAGAACAAAUCUUUACUAAGAUCGUUGAAAUAAAUGUCCUACUGAAACAAAGAACAUGAAAUAUUAUUAAAUAUGUAUAUUUCAGUCAACAUGUCUGUCGUGAAGCAUAUUUUCAGUCUUCCACUAAUAUCAAAAUGACACAUGCAUACCUAGAAAUCACUAUAAGCAUUUUAUAAAAAAAAUCAAGUAACAUGACUACCAUUAAAAUAUGCGCCACUAGCUGAUUUUAAUGUCCAACAAUACACCACCAAUGCUUUCAGGAAGCUAUUCAGACCCAAGUAAUUCCUGCUAAAAACUUGCAUAAAGUACAAAACACAUACAAAACUAUAUAAGUAAUACAGCGAGCUCCGAAAUAAAUCCAGAGUAACUAGUCAUCUAUCUACAUGUGCACAACAAGAAAAAUGGGUGCACCACAAAAUAAAUGUUAUCUUCUUCAUUAGAUUUUUCAAGAUUGUUGCCUUUUCAAGUCGCUAAGUAGCAGUUAAGUACAUUGCAAUUAUAUGAUUUUGGCACAAAGCAUUGCACAGGAAUUAGAGCACUAAGAGUUUUGAUUCAUUGUACAAAAAAAUAAGAUUUGACACAGCACAUGGAACUUCAAGCGGCUUGUUUGUCAUUUCGCUUCUUUGUCAAGUAUUUUAGGUACCUAUAGAAGGAGACAGGGAGGUAGAAUUUGCUUGUAUGAUGUAUCUAGAGAUUAAAUUGUACAGCUACAUGUGUGGGCAGUCGAGAGCUACAUGAAAGUUUAUUAUCCAAUAACCAGAAAUCAUAUAGGUUGAAAACUGCAUAGCUAAAACAAGCCCAUUAACUAUAAACAAUAAAUGUCAUAUUUAUAUGAAAAGAAAUUGGCGGAAAGAAAACAGAAAAUACUCUCCUUAUUCUUGAAUUUGAAAGCUUUUUGACCUCUAUAGUAAUCAUUUCAGUAAGUAUAGGACCAGAAUCAUGAACUGAAUUUUUAGUUGGAAGAACAAGCAUUGAAUUACGUGUAUUUUCAGUCAAGCUUACUUCCAGAAAACAUUGAGCCCUAGCAGAACAUAAGGGCAAAUAGAUGCUUGAGUAAAGUGUAUGAAUAACAUAAAGGGCAUGUUCAGGAAAGGGAUGUGCAGAUAUCAUCACCAAGUAAAAAAAUGUUUCUAGUCCAUGUGAGAUAUUCAAAUUAUGCAGGCAAGGGCAGUGCAGAUAUCAUCACCAAGUGAAAAAUGUUUUUAGCUGUACAAAGACCAUUAGAUGCACUGACCGGUGUGGGAUCCAUCACCAUUAUGUGCAUGCAGAAACAUUGGACACUGCAGUAAAAUGUACCUACAGAAUCUGCAAAUAUGAGUUUUUCUUCAGUUAGAUAUAAAAUGGUAUGAGUUUCUUAAUACUAAAAGCUGACAGGAUAAAUCUUGCAGGCCAUUACUCUGAAUUAUAAGUGUACAACUACAAAACAAUGCUUGAACUGCAACAAGAACAGAGAUUUGCCUAAUACUUUUUGUUUGCAGUACAAAAAAUGAAUGUGCUUCACAAUGUGACUAGAAAGGAACAAAGCACAAACAAUCAGUAAUGAACGAGUAACCCUCAGUGGUGCUUCUGCCCUUGCUGUUCGUUUUAAUGUCGAACAAGGCAGACGCCCAGAUGUUUUCUCUGUACUGGUUCAACAUGGCCAACGAGGCCUCCAGCCAUCCUUUAACAGGUACGGCUGGAUCAAUCCAUGGCCGGUGUUCUGCCCCAAGUGUUUUGCUCGUCCUGGUGGUACUCUGUACUCCU